This is a long non-coding RNA of Triticum urartu, 915 nucleotides long. RefSeq lists it as uncharacterized. The record is from RefSeq and is a predicted model, not a curated record. NCBI's taxonomy places the organism in Eukaryota, Viridiplantae, Streptophyta, Magnoliopsida, Poales, Poaceae.
GUUUGCAAAACGCGCUACUAUCACCCACGCUAAAAAAAUCCACCCAACACCCGCGCACACACUCCACUCUUCCUCCUCCCCCACCCAAGACCCAACGAAUUCCCCAAUCCUCCUCUCCUCUGCCCCAACCCCGCCGCCGCCGGCCUCGUCUCCCUCUACCCCCGACGCCGCCGCUCCACCCUCUCCCGCGCCCCUCACCUUGUCUCCCAUCCACAGAUCGAGCGAGAAGGUGAGGCAGCCCCCAGAUCCACGGUGACAUGGAGGUCCGAAACCCUAGCUAGCAUGGCCACCGAGCCGCAGGCGGAAGCAGGCCAAGGCCAUGGUGACCAAUACCCCCCCCCCCCCCCCCCCCCCCCCCCCCCCCCCCCCCCGGUCACCACGAGAGGAGAGGAGAGGAGAGGAUAGAAGGGGGACAUCCAGCAAGCAGGCCAUGGCGGUGGCCAGAUCCGCCCAUCAGACCAGCAUCGUGAGGAGACAGACGGCAUGGAGCUGGUCGUCAAGGUCCGACCUUGGCAGGCACCAAGGUGCACGUACUCCAUGGAGAUGCUUCUCCAUCCAACUCUGACACACAUGCCGUAGCCGCGGUAACCAUCAAGGGUGGCAUCGACGACGACGACGACAUCGACAUGGGGUUGCGGCGGCGACGACGACGGCGGCAUCGACAAGGGGCUGCGGCGCCGACGACAUCAUCAUGGUGCUGCGGCGACGACGACAACAACAACAUCAACAUUGGCUUCUGGAGGCGCCGAUGCCGACCUAUAAGCGCGGCGUAUAUUGUAUAUACCUGUAUUAAUUUUCUAUAUCAGAUAUGCAUGAUUGACUGUAAGCAUAACAUGUACAUAUUAUGAAUGCAUGUAUGUGAGUACUAUGAAAUGUUUGUCUAAACUGGAAUAAAUAGAUUUUUAUUUUUUUAAA